AAAAGGAGAGAUCUGAUUCACCAACACCACAUCUGUCUUUGAGGAGUGAGAGAUCAGUUCCAGUACCACUGGGCUUCAGCAGAGAAGCACAGACAAAUAUAAAAAGAAAGCUGUGUGUGGAAGACACAGAAGAGCAGACAGAGUCCACACCUGCUAAAGGAGUCUGUCAGCAGCACCACAGAGAUCUGGAAGUGUUCUGUAAGACAGAUAACAUGUACAUCUGUGCCAGAUGUGUGGGGCAAGAGCACCAAGGACAUAGUAAAAUCUAUACUGUGAAACCUAAUGUGCCAGAAGGUCAAACCUUGCUCCAUCAUGUCUUGAGAUAGAACUAUCAAAGGAUUACCCAGAAUACUUAGGGAGUAAGCCGGAAGAGCUCAGUGUCUCUGAUGUUGCUGUGAAAAUAGUGGAGUACUUUGGAGGAGAGACAGCACUGGGAAUCACAUUACACUUCCAGGCAAAUGUUAAUCCACUUCAAAAAAAAAAAAAAAAAAAUCACAGAAGCCAAUAAAGCAAACCUUCAGGUCAAAUGUCAGCAUAUAAAUGAAGGAAAAUCAUCUCAAGGUUCAUUGAAGGAGAUCUAUACGGAUCUGUACAUGACAGAGGGUGGGAGUGGAGAGAUAAAUAAUGAACAUAAGGUGUUGAGGAAUGAACUGAUUUCACAAAGCAGAACCACUCCAGAAAGUCUUCUUAUAUGUAAUGACAUCUUCAAGACACUGCCAGAACAAAGCAAACAAAUCAGAGCAGUCCUGACGAUGGGUAUAUUUGGCAGUGCAGAAGUUCAUUCUAGACUGGGCAGAUGGAAAAGCAAACCAAGAUAUCAAUGUCAUCAUC
Long non-coding RNA from Cyprinus carpio carpio, 831 nucleotides. The record is from Ensembl. NCBI's taxonomy places the organism in Eukaryota, Metazoa, Chordata, Actinopteri, Cypriniformes, Cyprinidae.